AGGCAAGACUCUGGAGAGAGGCGCCGGAUGCGCGUCCGCCGAAGGGAUAACGAUCUCAGGCCGAAGGACAGAGGGGGCAGU
This 81-nucleotide non-coding RNA is filed under the name Antarctobacter albus. RNAcentral's name for it is "Antarctobacter sp. JLT354-W Glycine riboswitch aptamer". It matches the Rfam family "Glycine riboswitch aptamer". From Rfam's summary of the family: This family represents the bacterial glycine riboswitch. Glycine riboswitches usually consist of two metabolite-binding aptamers domains with similar structures in tandem. The record is from Rfam by way of RNAcentral. RNAcentral also lists the same sequence under 1 other name. Lineage: Bacteria; Pseudomonadati; Pseudomonadota; Alphaproteobacteria; Rhodobacterales; Roseobacteraceae.